Molecule: ribosomal RNA, 480 nt
Filed under: uncultured bacterium
Lineage: Bacteria
Description: partial 16S ribosomal RNA
Rfam family: Bacterial small subunit ribosomal RNA
Source: RNAcentral
GAUGAACGCUGGCGGCGUGCUUAACACAUGCAAGUCGAACGAAGCACUUUAUUUGAUUUCCUUCGGGACUGAUUAUUUUGUGACUGAGUGGCGGACGGGUGAGUAACGCGUGGGUAACCUGCCUUGUACAGGGGGAUAACAGUUGGAAACGGCUGCUAAUACCGCAUAAGCGCACAGCAUCGCAUGAUGCAGUGUGAAAAACUCCGGUGGUAUAAGAUGGACCCGCGUUGGAUUAGCUAGUUGGUGAGGUAACGGCCCACCAAGGCGACGAUCCAUAGCCGACCUGAUAGGGUGACCGGCCACAUUGGGACUGAGACACGGCCCAAACUCCUACGGGAGGCAGCAGUGGGGAAUAUUGCACAAUGGGCGAAAGCCUGAUGCAGCGACGCCGCGUGAGCGAAGAAGUAUUUCGGUAUGUAAAGCUCUAUCAGCAGGGAAGAUAAUGACGUUACCUGACUAAGAAGCACCGGCUAAAUACGU